This 253-nucleotide ribosomal RNA is filed under the name uncultured bacterium. RNAcentral describes it as "partial 16S ribosomal RNA". It matches the Rfam family "Bacterial small subunit ribosomal RNA", at positions 524 to 776 of the family's 1533-position model. The record is from RNAcentral.
UACGUAGGGUGCAGGCGUUAAUCGGAAUUACUGGGCGUAAAGCGUGCGCAGGCGGCUUCCUAAGUCAGAUGUGAAAUCCCCGGGCUUAACCUGGGAACUGCGUUUGAAACUGGGGGGCUAGAGUGCGGCAGAGGGGGGUGGAAUUCCACGUGUAGCAGUGAAAUGCGUAGAGAUGUGGAGGAAUACCGAUGGCGAGGGCAGCCCCCUGGGCCAGUACUGACGCUCAUGCACGAAAGCGUGGGGAGCAAACAGG